UGAAGUGAACCAAUGAGCAAAUUAUGAAACCAAACUGGGUCAUUAAAUAAGGUAAGAACUCAAGACACCAAAGAAAGGAAAGAGGGAGUGAAAAGUGUAGGUCCUUGAAGUGAACCAAUGAGCAAAUUAUGAAAUCAAACUGGGUCAUUAAAUAAGGUAAGAACUCAAGACACCAAAGAAAGAAAAGAGGGAGUGAAAAGUGUAGGUCCUUGCAGUGAACCAAUGUGCAAAUUAUGAAAUCAAACUGGGUCAUUAAAUAAGGUAAGAACUCAAGACACCAAAGAAAGGAAAGAGGGAGUGAAAAGUGUAGGUCCUUGAAGUGAACCAAUGAGCAAAUUAUGAAAUCAAACUGGGUCAUUAAAUAAGGUAAGAACUUAAGACACCAGAGAAAGGAAAGAGGGAGUGAAAAGUGUAGGUCCUUGAAGUGAACCAAUGUGCAAAUUAUGAAAUCAAACUGGGUCAUUAAAUAAGGUAAGAACUCAAGACACCAAAGCAAGGAAAGAGGGUGUGAAAAGUGUAGGUCCUUGAAGUGAACCAAUGAGCAAAUUAUGAAACCAAACUGGGUCAUUAAAUAAGGUAAGAACUUAAGACACCAAAGAAAGGAAAGAGGGAGUGAAAAGUGUAGGUCCUUGCAGUGAACCAAUGUGCAAAUUAUGAAACCAAACUGGGUCAUUAAAUAAGGUAAGAACUUAAGACACCAAAGAAAGGAAAGAGGGAGUGAAAAGUGUAGGUCCUUGAAGUGAACCAAUGUGCAAAUUAUGAAACCAAACUGGGUCAUUAAAUUAGGUAAGAACUUAAGACACCAGAGACAGGAAAGAGGGAGU
Eriocheir sinensis (Chinese mitten crab) is the source of this 824-nucleotide long non-coding RNA. RefSeq lists it as uncharacterized. Lineage: Eukaryota; Metazoa; Arthropoda; Malacostraca; Decapoda; Varunidae. The transcript has 5 exons. The record is from RefSeq and is a predicted model, not a curated record.